GCCUGCUUAGCUCAGUGGUUAGAGCACCGAUAUGCAAUCAAGCAAGAGGUCUUCUCUAAUUCGGAGACACGGGUUCGAAUCCCGUAGCAGGCA
Molecule: non-coding RNA, 93 nt
Organism: Hymenopellis radicata
Lineage: Eukaryota; Fungi; Basidiomycota; Agaricomycetes; Agaricales; Physalacriaceae
Source: the annotation of a GenBank genome assembly